GGGGGGGGGGGGGGGGGGGGGGGGGGGGGGGGGGGGGGGGGGGGGGGGGGGGGGCGGGCGGCGGGGGGGUGAGGGGCGGACGGGGGAGGGGGGGGAGGGGGAACUGCCGGUAGGACGGGGCUAACGUCGGGAGACCGGGGCCAAUACCGGAGGCUAUUGCGAACCGCAUGGUUCUGGAGUGGAAGAUGGUUUGGCUAUCACUUAUAGCUGGACCCGCGCCGUAUUAGCUAGUUGGUAAGGUAACGGCUUACCAAGGCGACGAUACGUAGCCGACCUGAGAGGGUGAUCGGCCACACUGGAGCUGAGACACGGUCCAGACUCCUACGGGAGGCAGCAGUAGGGAAUCUUCCGCAAUGGGCGAAAGCCUGACGAAGCAACGCCGCGUGAGUGAUGAAGGUCUUCGGAUCGUAAAACUCUGUUAUUAGGGAAGAACAUACGUGUAAGUAACUGUGCACGUCUUGACGGUACCUAAUCAGAAAGCCACGGCUAACUACGUG
This 497-nucleotide ribosomal RNA is filed under the name uncultured bacterium. RNAcentral's name for it is "partial 16S ribosomal RNA". The stretch from base 54 to 497 matches the Rfam family "Bacterial small subunit ribosomal RNA", at positions 35 to 507 of the family's 1533-position model. The record is from RNAcentral.